RNAcentral lists this unclassified non-coding RNA (257 nucleotides) under Hevea brasiliensis (rubber tree). The record is from RNAcentral. Lineage: Eukaryota; Viridiplantae; Streptophyta; Magnoliopsida; Malpighiales; Euphorbiaceae.
ACACACAAAAAAACUCAUCAAUCCACAAAGUUUCAAUUUUUGUUCAAGAUUGAGGAACCCCAGAUAAGAAUUUCUUAAAAAAAAUUGAAAUAAAAAAGUUAAAGAUUGAAUUUUUUUAGUGUACAUGGACUCAAAGUCAUUGAGGUUGAUAACCCAUCAAUCAUUUUUCUCAGCAGUUGGAUCUGGAGACCUUGAGUCUCUCAAAAUCAUUAUAAAGAAUGAUGGGUUGGAUCUAUUUUCUUUGUUGGCUUUACAGA